This 433-nucleotide ribosomal RNA is filed under the name uncultured bacterium. Its description in RNAcentral is "partial 16S ribosomal RNA". It matches the Rfam family "Bacterial small subunit ribosomal RNA", at positions 29 to 507 of the family's 1533-position model. The record is from RNAcentral.
AACGAACGCUGGCGGCAUGCCUAACACAUGCAAGUCGAACGAGACCUUCGGGUCUAGUGGCGCACGGGUGCGUAACGCGUGGGAACCUGCCCUUAGGUUCGGAAUAACUCCCCGAAAGGGGUGCUAAUACCGCAGAAUGUCUUCGGACCAAAGAUUUUUGGCCUUUGGAUGGGCCCGCGUUGGAUUAGCUAGUUGGUAGGGUAAAAGCCUACCAAGGCGACGAUCCAUAGCUGGUCUGAUAGGAUGAUCAGCCACACUGGGAAUGAGACACGGCCCAGACUCCUACGGGAGGGAGCAGUGGGGAAUAUUGGAGAAGGGGCGAAAGCCUGACCCAGCAAUGCCGGGUGAGUGAUGAAUGGCUUAGGGUUGUAAAGCUCUUUUACCCGGGAUGAUAAUGACAGUACCGGGAGAAUAAGCUCCGGCUAACUCCGUG